GCCCCGAUGGUGUAGUCCGGCCAAUCAUUCAGCACUUUCGAUGCUGAGACUCGGGUUCAAAUCCCGAUCGGGGCA
RNAcentral lists this transfer RNA (75 nucleotides) under Candidatus Woesearchaeota archaeon. RNAcentral describes it as "tRNA-Glu". It matches the Rfam family "tRNA". Rfam says of the family: Transfer RNA (tRNA) molecules are approximately 80 nucleotides in length. Their secondary structure includes four short double-helical elements and three loops (D, anti-codon, and T loops). The record is from RNAcentral. Lineage: Archaea; Nanobdellati; Candidatus Woesearchaeota.